RNAcentral lists this ribosomal RNA (689 nucleotides) under Melanelia hepatizon. Its description in RNAcentral is "partial small subunit ribosomal RNA". It matches the Rfam family "Bacterial small subunit ribosomal RNA", at positions 379 to 1036 of the family's 1533-position model. The record is from RNAcentral. Lineage: Eukaryota; Fungi; Ascomycota; Lecanoromycetes; Lecanorales; Parmeliaceae.
AAUAGCUACUUGCAUCAUUGUAAAUAUGAUGCAAGAUCGACUAUGUCGAAUAAAAUUCUAGGUAGAAUUAUGAUAAUGACAUUGUCUGCCUAUGUGUCUUGACCAAAUUACGUGCCAGCUGUCGCGGUAAUACGUAGAAGACUAGUGUUAUUCAUGUUUAAUCGGUUUAAAGGGUACCUAGACGGUAAAUCAAGCCUAAAAAGAAGGAAAUAAAGGGACUAAUUUACUAGAGUUACUUAUGAGGGGGUAUUAAAGUACUGCUGGUGUAGAGAUGAAAUUCUGUCAUACCUCUUUUCAAUAGAAAAAUAAUGGCACAGGUAUAGGCGAAGGCAUCCCCUUAUGUGAUAACUGACGUUGAGGGACGAAGGCUUUGUGUAGCGAACAGGAUUAGAUACCCCAGUAGUCAAAGCAGAAAAUGAUGAAUGUCAUAGAUUAGAUAUAUAAGUUUAUUCUAUAAAUGAAAGUGUAAGCAUUCCACCUCAAGAGUAAUUUGGCAACAUUGGAACUGAAAUCAUUAGACCGUUUCUGAAACCAGUAGUGAAGUAUGUUGUUUAAUUUGAUAAUCCGCAAAAAACCUUACCACAAUUUGAAUAUUUAUAUUUUUUUUUAUUGUUUUUCUUUUUAAUUAUCUUCCGAUUUUCUAGUUAAAGGAAAACUAGAAGAAAAAGAAAAAAAAGGCAAUAAGAUAA